GUUUUGAGCUCAAAGAGCGUUAUGAGCCCUGAAGGAGACUCCUUCAUGAAUUUGGUGUACCAAUGGUGCAUGUCCUCCUCCAGGAUAUCAUCCAGGCUGGACCAGUGGGUGCCCAUUAUUCCUCCAGAGGCAGCAGUAGCUCCGUCCGUGGGGACUUGGCUGGAAACCAGAGGGUGGCCAGCAUGGAUCAGUCAUGCGAUGUGUGGACUGGUAGCUGGAGAGGUUCCAGUUAUCCUCCUGGGCAACACCAAAGGUGCCCUAUGUAUGUACAUCGUACCUGUUUGUGUAUAAUAACAACUGAGAGAAAAAACUGAUUUCCCCUAGAGAGAUUAAUAAAGUAUGUCUUCUAUUA
This is a long non-coding RNA of Micropterus salmoides (largemouth bass), 352 nucleotides long. RefSeq lists it as uncharacterized. NCBI's taxonomy places the organism in Eukaryota, Metazoa, Chordata, Actinopteri, Centrarchiformes, Centrarchidae. The record is from RefSeq and is a predicted model, not a curated record. The transcript has 2 exons.